AAGAAUUUAAAAGGUGGUGUAGCCAUGGGCUCUCCAACUGCAUGCAAGAGCAACCUGGAGAGACUUUGACAGCUCAGGUCAGCAUAAUACCUACAGCUGCCACUCGUCUUUCCUAUAUCU
This 120-nucleotide small nucleolar RNA is filed under the name Myotis davidii. RNAcentral describes it as "Small nucleolar RNA SNORA44". It matches the Rfam family "Small nucleolar RNA SNORA44". Rfam says of the family: ACA44 is a member of the H/ACA class of snoRNA that guide the sites of modification of uridines to pseudouridines. Lineage: Eukaryota; Metazoa; Chordata; Mammalia; Chiroptera; Vespertilionidae. The record is from Rfam by way of RNAcentral.